This 274-nucleotide ribosomal RNA is filed under the name uncultured bacterium. RNAcentral's name for it is "partial 16S ribosomal RNA". It matches the Rfam family "Bacterial small subunit ribosomal RNA", at positions 523 to 796 of the family's 1533-position model. The record is from RNAcentral.
AUACGGAGGGUGCAAGCGUUACUCGGAAUCACUGGGCGUAAAGAGCGUGUAGGCGGGUUAAUAAGUUGGAAGUGAAAUCCUAUGGCUCAACCAUAGAACUGCUUUCAAAACUGUUGACCUAGAAUAUGGGAGAGGUAGAUGGAAUUUCUGGUGUAGGGGUAAAAUCCGUAGAGAUCAGAAGGAAUACCGAUUGCGAAGGCGAUCUACUGGAACAUUAUUGACGCUGAGACGCGAAAGCGUGGGGAGCAAACAGGAUUAGAUACCCUAGUAGUCC